GUGCAACAUUAAGGAUGCAACUGCCGUUAAGAAGAAAAAGUAAAACACGGACGUGACGUGAGGAUUACGGAAGUUUUUUUUAUCAUAAGCACCCUUAAUUUUACUGUCGAUGGCUGCACCACUUUAAGAUUAAAAAUGCUAUUUGCAGACAACAGUUGUGAUUCAGUCGCUUUAUGGUGAGAAAAGACUGUUUACAACUGUUAACAACAUGGCACAAGUUCCUCCUUCCUCCGGAUCAAUCGUAGUAGCUGACUGGCAUCGAUGUAAAGACAGCAAAGAAUAUUUCAGCAAAAUUCUACACAAGAAGAGACGCAAAAACUUCGGCCUAUUGGAGUCUCCGUUGAUGCCCCCACACGUAGCUGUAGACACAGUUCACUAUAAGAUCUUCAUCUCUGGCAAGAGUGGAGUCGGGAAAACUGCUCUUGCUGCACGUCUUGCAGGCCAGAAUAUUCCUAACAUGACUGUCAAUAUACCACACAUGCACUAUGAAACCACAGGUAGGUCUAGAAUCAAUUGCUUUUAGAGUAAUUUACACAAUUAAGGGUAAAUAUGGUUACAAAUAUUCGUCCAAUUUAUCUCUUGUUGUUGAAGGUAUUGAGAUGACAAUGGUGUAUUGGCCAGUGAAACUGAGAGAAAAUGGCAGAGUGCUUUUCUUCCGUCUGCAGCUGUGGGACUGUGGAGAGAAUGUCUUGCGUAGAUUUGACCAUUUACUGCCAGUAUGUUUAUAAUAUAAAGUGUUUUCACACAGCACAUUGUAUUGAGUUAUGAACUAAUGUGAAACAGAAAAAAAGACUAUGCUAGUAUUAUAUUAGAUUAAAAA
Long non-coding RNA from Sander lucioperca (pikeperch), 820 nucleotides. RefSeq lists it as uncharacterized. Lineage: Eukaryota; Metazoa; Chordata; Actinopteri; Perciformes; Percidae. The transcript has 2 exons. The record is from RefSeq and is a predicted model, not a curated record.